Molecule: ribosomal RNA, 376 nt
Filed under: uncultured bacterium
Lineage: Bacteria
Description: bacterial SSU rRNA
Rfam family: Bacterial small subunit ribosomal RNA
Source: RNAcentral
UAAUACAGAGGUCUCAAGCGUUGUUCGGAUUCAUUGGGCGUAAAGGGUGCGUAGGUGGCGCGCUAAGUCGGGUGUGAAAUUUCGGAGCUUAACUCCGAAACUGCAUUCGAUACUGGCGUGCUCGAGGACUGGAGAGGAGACUGGAAUUCAUGGUGUAGCAGUGAAAUGCGUAGAGAUCAUGAGGAAGACCAGUGGCGAAGGCGGGUCUCUGGACAGUUCCUGACACUGAGGCACGAAGGCCAGGGGAGCAAACGGGAUUAGAUACCCCGGUAGUCCUGGCAGUAAACGGUGCACGUUUGGUGUGGAAGGAUUCGACCCCUUCUGCGCCGGAGCUAACGCGUUAAACGUGCCGCCUGGGGAGUACGGUCGCAAGAUU